RNAcentral lists this ribosomal RNA (1085 nucleotides) under Leuconostoc mesenteroides. RNAcentral describes it as "bacterial SSU rRNA". It matches the Rfam family "Bacterial small subunit ribosomal RNA", at positions 60 to 1120 of the family's 1533-position model. Lineage: Bacteria; Bacillati; Bacillota; Bacilli; Lactobacillales; Lactobacillaceae. The record is from RNAcentral.
AGUUCGAACGCACAGCGAAAGGUGCUUGCACCUUUCAAGUGAGUGGCGAACGGGUGAGUAACACGUGGACAACCUGCCUCAAGGCUGGGGAUAACAUUUGGAAACAGAUGCUAAUACCGAAUAAAACUUAGUGUCGCAUGACACAAAGUUAAAAGGCGCUUCGGCGUCACCUAGAGAUGGAUCCGCGGUGCAUUAGUUAGUUGGUGGGGUAAAGGCCUACCAAGACAAUGAUGCAUAGCCGAGUUGAGAGACUGAUCGGCCACAUUGGGACUGAGACACGGCCCAAACUCCUACGGGAGGCUGCAGUAGGGAAUCUUCCACAAUGGGCGAAAGCCUGAUGGAGCAACGCCGCGUGUGUGAUGAAGGCUUUCGGGUCGUAAAGCACUGUUGUAUGGGAAGAACAGCUAGAAUAGGAAAUGAUUUUAGUUUGACGGUACCAUACCAGAAAGGGACGGCUAAAUACGUGCCAGCAGCCGCGGUAAUACGUAUGUCCCGAGCGUUAUCCGGAUUUAUUGGGCGUAAAGCGAGCGCAGACGGUUUAUUAAGUCUGAUGUGAAAGCCCGGAGCUCAACUCCGGAAUGGCAUUGGAAACUGGUUAACUUGAGUGCAGUAGAGGUAAGUGGAACUCCAUGUGUAGCGGUGGAAUGCGUAGAUAUAUGGAAGAACACCAGUGGCGAAGGCGGCUUACUGGACUGCAACUGACGUUGAGGCUCGAAAGUGUGGGUAGCAAACAGGAUUAGAUACCCUGGUAGUCCACACCGUAAACGAUGAACACUAGGUGUUAGGAGGUUUCCGCCUCUUAGUGCCGAAGCUAACGCAUUAAGUGUUCCGCCUGGGGAGUACGACCGCAAGGUUGAAACUCAAAGGAAUUGACGGGGACCCGCACAAGCGGUGGAGCAUGUGGUUUAAUUCGAAGCAACGCGAAGAACCUUACCAGGUCUUGACAUCCUUUGAAGCUUUUUAAGAUAGAAAUGUUCUCUUCGGAGACAAAAUGACAGGUGGGGGCAGGGGCGUCCUCCACUCCCGGCCGGAGAAGAUUGGGGGUAAAUCCCCGCACCAAAGGGACCCCUUAUUGUUUGUUUGCC